Molecule: long non-coding RNA, 775 nt
Organism: Parus major (Great Tit)
Lineage: Eukaryota; Metazoa; Chordata; Aves; Passeriformes; Paridae
Exons: 2
Source: RefSeq, a predicted model, not a curated record
AUAUAUAUUAGUACAUAUUAUAUACAUGUUACAGCUAUAGUAUUAUAGAUCAUAUUAUAUAUAUAUAUAUAAUAGGCAGCUGUAUCUGAUACAGAAUAUCAUAAGGGUGAUAAGACUGAAGCAUUUAGAGUCAGGGUGACCACAGCUGCCUUGAGUUUCAGUGGUGACUUGUAAGGGUCCUUGUCAUGUUCAGUAACAUUUACAUCCCAUCCCUUGUUACCCCUCAGCCCCAAUUACAAUCAAAUUUCAUAAAAGCCACAGUAAAACCCAGGGCUUUCCACCUGUGACUGCCAAGAGGCUGCAGAGCAAUCACCAAGAAUUACACGUGGCUGUAUCUCAGCAGGGCUCUGGUGCUGCUCUGACCCUGAAACUUCUGCUCAGAUCUCUCCAGCCUGGAGGUUUCUUCCCUGCUCAGCCUUUCUGGAGCCCUGGCAGAGGCUUCACAGCCCUGUCCCGCUGCCACAUCGGGUGACAAUGACACAGCAGUGGCUGGGGCCACCUCCCUGCUCAGUUUCGUUUCUCUCAGAGCUCUUUUCUCUCAAGGAAAUGCUUUCUGCAGGAGCUCAAGGGCUAUUUAUGGACAGUGAUAAAGUUAUAUUUGCUGGGAGACUGACGUCACCCAACCACUCACACCAUCACAUUUCAUCACGGAAAUACUGAUUAAUCAAGAAUGCAAACUUCUAAACUCUCACUACCCUAAGUCUAGCCACAGUCCUACUUAAAGGAUUGGUUAUAUUUAAAAGAAUUAAAAAAUAAAAUGUGGCUUUGAGAUUGA